UCUCUAAGCUGCCAGCGGUCCUUCUGUACUCUCCGCCUGUAAUUAAAGAUUCUUUCUAUUUUUACCAAGUUCCCCUACUCCUGAAUUUUGGUUUCUGAACUUGGUAAGAAAUAUAGUAGCUCUGUUAUGUUUUCCAGGGGCAGGAAUAGGAAGGAACCCCUGAAGAAGUCAAAGCUUCAGAUCAACUAUUUUUAGUUCCCUCUGUCCGUUUACCUAUUCGUUUUUUGGUUUGUUUUUGUUUUUUAGUGCUGUGGCCUAUGGAGUUCAGUUUUAAUCACAUCUGAGUGAAAAUGAUUUUCCUAUUCUGUGGUUACUGGAUCCUACAGUAACUUCCUAGCAGGAAUAAAGUGGUCUUUCAUUGCAAAGCUGGGGCAAGCCAAGUUUGUCUAGAGAAAUUCUCCCUACCAGCUAAAGUCUCUUUUUUUCUGCAACCAAUACGUGUACUGGCAAAUGAAGGCAUUCUUCUCAUUCUGGGUUAUUCGUGAGCUCUUUCCAUAGGGUAAUCAAAGCAAUUAGCUGGCCAGAAAGACAGCAGCGCUCAUCACUGUUACAUAUCAUGUCUACAUGAUUCAAGCAGGAAAGCCACUUGCCACUUCCUGUCCAAGGGGACACAGAAAGAAUCAAGACAAAAGUCUCCUCCUCUGCUUUUCCUGUUUUAACAAGAUCAAAUGGCUUGCUGACUACGGCUUGGCAAAACAAAGCGGUUUAGAAAGCCAGGGUGUGAAGAUCAGAAACACAGCGUUAGUGUCACUUGGGGGAGCGCGGGGAUGGGUCAUGGUGGGCAUUGAUUACUGACCCGUCACUUAAAGGACCUUCUUUACUGGAUCAUGGACAAGGUGGUUUUAGAAUGGAAACAGAAAAGACAGAAAGAAUUAUUGGUGACAGAGCCGAGAAUUCCGAGGCUUCACUCGUGCAUAUGCAGCGUCAUGAGCCGCACGUUUGAAAUCGCACUCCACACCCACUUCAAAUGGGAACACGCAGGUGACGGCCAUGCAGCUGAAGGGGCCAGAGGAGACAGGCCAGCCCCAGCAGUAGCUGCAGCAGACAUUCCAAAGGCACAGCUCAAAAGGAAACCAGAAAAAUGCAGUGCCUACGAGGGACACAAGUCGUCGGACAGGCUGCAGUGUGGGGUCAUCUAUUAUCAGUCCGGCUGCUACCAUGGGCAUUAUGGCUGUAAACAUCCUGGUUAGAAAAGUACAGAUAGACACAGAGAAGAUAAAAACAGGGGCGGCAUGAAAAAGAAACACACUCCACAGACAGGUCAGCCGAAGGGUUUGCUUAUGGUUGAUGUGGAAUUAUGGCCCCCAGUGCCCCCCAUUCAUAGUUGGAAAAGUCCUAACUCCCAGGAGCUCAGAAUGUCCCUUAUUUAUUUAUUUAUUGAAUGUCACCUUAUUUAGAAAGAGAAUCCUUGUAGAUGUAACUAGUUUUGGUGAGGUCAUACCGGAGUGGGGCGGCCCUAAUCCAAUACAACUGGUGUCCUUAUAAAAGGGGGAAAUUUGGACACGGACAUGCACACAGGAAGAAGGCCAUGUGAAGGUGGAGGCAGAGAUUGGGGUGAUGCUUCUACAAGUGAACAAAGGCCAAAGAUUGUCAGCAAACCACUAGAAGCUUGGAGAGAGGCGUGGAGCAGAUUCUCCCUCAUGGCCCUCAGAAGGGAUUGACACUGCCAACACCUUGAUCUUGGACUUGUAGCUUCUAGGAACUGUGAGGCUAUACAUCUCUAUUGUUUUUUGUAUUUUUUUGGCCGUGCCACUUGGCUUGUGGGAUCUUAGUUCCCUGACCAGGGAUUGAACCCGGGCCCUCGGCAGUGAAAGCGUGGAGUCCUAACCACUGGACCGCCAGGGAAGUCCCUAUCUCUGUUGUUUAAGCCAACUCAGUUUUUGGUACAACAGCCCUAGCAAACGGAUACAGCGUGUGAUAACCACGUAGGGAAGACAGGGUGGCCUCAAGGGCUGAAAACGCAGGCCCGGGUGUGGGGAAGGAAGUGUCAAAACCUGUUGUGGGAUUACUCUUGGGUGUCUUCCAGCACGUCUCCCCCAGCUGCCAUGAGCUGCAGGCUAUGUGCCCUGAAGGCAGCCAGGGGAGACCCAGGAGAGAAGGUGAGGCAGCCAGGAUGGGCCGGGCAGGAGACAGCCUGCAUCGUCACCCGCCUGGUGCCUUGCUGCAGGAGCUGCCUGCUCUAGAGGGACAGCCACUUCCGUGAAAAAAGACUGGCUUGUUUUGGGCAAAAGUUGUCUCCUGGAUACGAUGUAGCUGGUUUCAAACUCCCCUGAGCCCCUGCCACCACCCCGCCCUGCGACAAAUUAUUUCUGGAAGACUCAAACCAAAUGAAGUUCUAACAGUGGCAUUUCAGGCAGUGUGAUGGGCGGCUGUAAAGAAGCUAUUUCUGGGCUGCAGUGAGCAGGGCGGUGGGUAGGGGGACAGGGAGAGAAUGCCCUGCUGUUGCUACCGUCGGGUACUUGGGUGGCUGCCUGCUCGAGGCCAACCUUUCCAGUAUGUGAGGCCAGUUGUUCUGAUCGCAGCUUCCCUGGCUGUGCCUCUGCGCCCCCUGCCAGCUGCCUGCCUCUCAGGUCAGCCCCCCGCCCCUGCUCAGCAGCGAGCAGCUGUGUGUAUACCUGUCAGCCCGGGAUUGAGAGCCGGGCACCACACAAAGGGGGCUCUGGUGCCUGGUGUCCACUGGGGAUGAGGCUGGAGCCACUCAGGCGCUCCCUCGUGACCUGCCCAGCCAGUGCCAACCCAGACUGGCCAGCAGCUGCUCAGUCACAAGCUAUUCUUGGAAGGUUUUCUGGGCACACUGUUUUGACAGGCGGCAGAAGUUUCUGGUUCCCUUGACCAGUUCAGCCCAGAAAUGUAGACUCUGGUGGCUCUGGCUGGUGGUGCAUUUGAGAGAUAAGGGAACUGGGCAGCCAGCCCACAGCUGGUGACUCGGGAAAUGGGGUGAGGAAAAGGGGGGUGGGGAGGCCGAACGAGACAGCUGGGGCAAGCACUGUCUUGUCUUGGCCAGGAGGCAAUCAAAAGGCAUGGGUUCCAAUCCCGACUUCGAUCCAUCCAGCAAGGUGAUCACAGUGAAGUCAGUGGGCUUCCCUGGGCCCCAGUUUCCUCAUCUGAGAAAUGGGGCUAAUCCCAGCUCUGAAUCUCUGACAGGGUGGAAGGUACCCUAGUUCAAGUGCUCCAAGCCGGUGAAGCCCUUUCGAACCUCCAUGGUAGCUACUGCUUACUUACUGGAGGGUGGGGAAAGGUGGUCGAGGGCGAGAAGCUGAGCUGGAGCACAGCUGUGAGCUGCACUAAAGAGGCUGUGUGACUAAUACUCCAUAAAAGCAAGGACAAAGGGACCAGACAGACCCAGACGGGUGCCCGAGAGUGAAGGAUGGAGAGGGAGACAGGCAUGGAACCGUCUUAAGAACUGUCAUUCCCUUGCCCCGGUCCCCAGGGAAGAUCCAUCCCUGCCCCAGGCUCUGAGCUUCUGGCCACACUGAUGCAGCUUCCGGUCAGUGGCCGAGGUGGACAAAGUGACCAGUGUCCUGUCUGGGCUGGUCAAAAGCCUUCUGUGCCAUCUGGAUCUUCCACUUACCCCCUACAAGGCCGGGGCGGCCAUGGGACUGGCCACCUGCACCCCGUGGACGAGAGAUUCUGAAUUCUCUCUCCCUCUCUGUCUCUGACUCCCAGAUUCCAUCUGCUUCUCCUGCUGGGCUCAGAACCCCAGGUCUUGCUGAGCAACCAGAGGCCAAACUGAAGGGGAGAAGGGUUUGAGAACAGGGCCCCAGGGUCCUUUCUGGAACAAUCUGGAAAAGAGGACCAGACACCACAGCCUACUCGUGUGUGGGUAGAAGAACUAGUGGGAAAAACACUGUUGGUUAAUUCUGACAACUUUCCUCUGGAUUUUACCCAGUUUGAGAUUUGCAAAAACCAACUCUUAAGUACCUGUUUCAGAGAAAGGGGGCUGGAGUGGAAAACUAGGAAGUCAGAACAUCCCCGCUUCAGAAGGAAGUCUUAGAAUUACAUAUGACUUGGAAUUACAGUGCCAGAGAUGCUGUAAACGCAGCACACUUGGAGCAGAGAUGCUAGAAAUGUCUGAUUGUUAAAGGGAAGGAACUGCUGAAAGAAGAAGAUAGAUGCUGGUCUCUUGGUCUCACCCCUCCCUUAGCUAAGGGAGGAACUGUGUGGGCUCAUGAACUUAUUGUCAAUUUCCCCAGGUUUCAACCCAAAGCAUUUAAGGUCACUUCUGCUCAUCCUUACAUGCAAGUGGGGCUGGUGGACAGAUCAGGGUCUAAGCGAAGUCAAUCCCAUUUCUUAGCAAGCACUGGAUGGGAAACCCUAACCAAGGAUACUGAGUACAUCAUAGAAUUGAGACCAAAGGGCUCCCUCUCCCCCAGGAUGAGGCUACAGUGGACGCCGGUUACUUCCGUCUGCUCAGCAAACUGAUCUUGCUUGGGGUCUGUCCUUCCCCAAAUCCCUGUCCAUGGGAACUGGAUAGAGUUAAAGCUACUCUAAGUUUCAGGCGUGAGAAUGAGACCCAGACCAGACCUAUGGAUGCACUGCCCUGUGGGGUGAUCAUGUGACCCAGUCAGAGCCAAGGAGACUCAAUUCUGUGACUUCUGUGGGAGAUUCUCUCCUCCCACUGGAGUUCCAGACAAGAAAGCAGAAGCCUGAGCUGAUGGCGGCCAUACUGCCACCCUGAGGGGACAGCACGCCCAAGAAUACAGCCCACGGAAAGGAAAACAGGUUGAGGCAGACGGAACCAGGCAGAGCCCUGAGAACAAGACCUGGGUCCGGCUGAGCCUGAAGCCAGGAUGACCCGAAAAUCUCUAGUUGCUUGGCCAACAGUUUUUCUUUCUUUAAAUUACUUUGAGUUGCGUUUCAAGGGCCAGUGGGAGAUUACAAACUAAUACGUGGCCAACAUGGUGUUGGGACCCAGAGGAAGCCUAUCUGAUUCCAAGCUUCACCCCCAGGAAAUAUUUAUCCCUAACCAGAACUGGGGACCACAGCCCCUCCCAAAUCCAGCGGAUCUGCUUGACCGAGGGCCAAGCAAACAAGCAACGUGAAGCUGGCAGGAGAGGCUUGGAAAGGAGCCACGUGUUAAUCCACACACUCCAGGGGGCGGCUAGCCUUUCCCAGGGCCCGGUAUCUGAGCAAGUCGCCCCUUUCUAAGAGCAGAGGGUCCAGCAGUUACACACAUUUUGCGUUCCCUUCCUAUCCCCCAAAACCGUGGAUUACGUCAAUUCACAGGACAAGAAGUAGCCAAGAAUUUCCAAACAAAAGUGGAAUUUAAAGGUUGAGGCGGGGCUUCCCUGGUGGCGCAGUGGUUGAGAGUCCGUCUGCUGAUGCAGGGGACACGGGUUCGUGCCCUGGUCUGGGAAGACCCCACAUGCCGCAGAGCGGCUGGGCCCGUGAGCCAUGGCCGCUGAGCCUGCGCGUCCGGAGCCUGUGCUCCGCAACGGGAGAGGCCACAACAGUUAGAGGCCCGCGUACCACAAAAAAAAAAAAAAGGGCUGAGGCAUCCGAGUAACACCCCAGUUCCUCUCCCCACACACCCCAGUUGGCUUUCCAACCCAUGCCACUCGCCUUCACAAAGCUUCUACCAGGGUUUGGGGGGAAGAACCGAAGCCUCUUCUCUAAGAAGGUGCAAGGCUGAGAGUCAGGAAGACCCUCUCAGGGGACAAAAUGAGGCCCCAAGACAACUGGGAGCAGAAGGCCCUCCUGCAGAGUUUGAAACGUGGGCUCUGGGCCAGGCUGCCUGGGUUCGAACCCUGGCUCUGCCUCUUACUAGCUGUAUGACCCUAGGCAGGUGAUUGACUUCAGUGCCUCAGUUUCCUUAACUGUAAAAUGGGGAUGACAGUGCCCUCACCUCACAGGGCUAUGGUGAGGACUCUGCCAUUAUCUGCAGGAACGGUACCCGGCAGAUAGGUUCUUAGUAGAUAUUAGCACAUAGUAGGUUCUUACUAGAUAUUAGCUAACUAGACCAGAGCUUUAACCCUUUAUCUGAAGGGCUACAGGGGUCAACGAACCUAAAACUGUUUGCAAGACUGUAUGACUCCACCCUCACACACCCCCCACCCCCACCGCCGCUGAAAGGGUCUGCAAACUCUCAUUCAAAUCUCAAAGGAGUCUUUUGAUGCAAGGACUCCGAAGUAGCUUGAAGUCUAGUGGAGGGCUAGGACUAGGCCGCGCUUUCUCUCGUGUGUCCCCCACAGCCACCAGGGCCCAGUGCUGCUUGUAUUAUGCACCAAUGAAUACUUAAUGGAGAGACAGAUGGACAGGUGAAGUCAUCACAGAAAAGCAUAUAUGGGGUGGACCCGCGGCCAUUCAGACACCUCGGAGCUGGGGUUUCAAGGCCUUAAGAUGCGUGAACCUUUCCCACCAUGCAAUAUUUGCUGUCCUCAAAGACAUGCCCCGACUGACACACUCAAGCAAGCCCAGGCCCCAGCCCUUUCCCACCCCCUAGGCCUUCCCCAAACCUCUCUGCCCAGGGACCCCCCGCAAGGAGGAACUCAGCCUUCAAUGUACAGAGGUGACUCUGCAGUCAAGGGCCAGGCCCAGCGUGCCCCGGGCGUAGGCCGAGCCCCGCGGGAGGUGGUUAGUAACAAGCCCAGCCCUGGAGCAGGUGCCCAGGAGAAGUGAGAGGCCGUGUGAGCCGCCAGCUCAGCCGCGAGCGAGCAGCCCCAGACGCCGGGAGCGCAGCACUUACAGUCGCUUGAUCCCAGACUCCGGCUGGGGGGACAUUCUCGGGUGGGUGACGGGUGGAGGUUGGGGUAUUCGAUUUUCCUCUUCUAUUUCUU
Molecule: long non-coding RNA, 6776 nt
Organism: Orcinus orca (killer whale)
Lineage: Eukaryota; Metazoa; Chordata; Mammalia; Artiodactyla; Delphinidae
Exons: 2
Source: RefSeq, a predicted model, not a curated record